This 253-nucleotide ribosomal RNA is filed under the name uncultured bacterium. Its description in RNAcentral is "partial 16S ribosomal RNA". It matches the Rfam family "Bacterial small subunit ribosomal RNA", at positions 524 to 776 of the family's 1533-position model. The record is from RNAcentral.
UACAGAGGUCUCAAGCGUUGUUCGGAUUCAUUGGGCGUAAAGGGUGCGUAGGUGGCGGGGCAAGUCAGGUGUGAAAUCUCGGGGCUCAACCCCGAAACUGCACUUGAUACUGCCUUGCUCGAGUACUGGAGAGGAGACUGGAAUUUACGGUGUAGCAGUGAAAUGCGUAGAUAUCGUAAGGAAGACCAGUGGCGAAGGCGAGUCUCUGGACAGUUACUGACACUGAGGCACGAAGGCCAGGGGAGCAAACAGG